This 1363-nucleotide long non-coding RNA is filed under the name Elaeis guineensis (African oil palm). RNAcentral describes it as "long non-coding RNA (EGUI_LNC005232)". Lineage: Eukaryota; Viridiplantae; Streptophyta; Magnoliopsida; Arecales; Arecaceae. The record is from RNAcentral.
AAAUCCGUAGUAGCAUGAUAAAUAGCUUCUCGACGCUUGUCAGGAGCGUGGGGCCCGAAACUAUGCACGUGGACGUGCGAAGCUGGACUCCAUGAAAAAAAGUCCAGCUGUAGCCACUCAUGAGUCACGACCCGUCCGCCGACGCUCCUGCUCCCGGACCCGUCUCUGCCUCAGCUUUAUAAUUUAUACAUAUGGCUCAUCAAACGAGUUGCGCCCCACGAUGCAGACCAGAGCAAAAUGCCAGCAAGUCCCACUCUUUGAUGACGAGGCCCCGGUGAGGCCGCAGACUGCAGCGUCCGUACUUAAAAACAUUAAAAAAAACACAUCUUACAGGAGUGUUGUCAAAGGGCGUUCGGCCUCCCUUGGACCGCGUCAAAUCCCACGGUGAAUAACACGCCACGCUGCUCCUCGUAUUUCACCAAUUUUCGAUUGCGCACUAUCCACCGUCCAUAUGCGUCGGGAUUUAUCCUGAUGCAUUUGCGCCUGUUGCAUGCAAUAAUUUUUCGUUCAAGUUGAUGGUCGGAAGAUGGGCGAAACAAGUAAAGGUGGCGCAUUGUUGUACGUAAAGAUUGGCGUGAGUUGCGAUGGAAAGUCUGUUGCCAGCUGGAAAGUUUGGCGGGUAACUUUUCCCCAGGUAACGUAUCUCAUAGCUGUCCGAUCACCCCCGGCUCGGGCUUCUGCCAUCCGUUGGUCCUUCGUCACGUGAGAGUGACACGCGAACCAGGCUUGGGAGAUGGAGCCAUGGUGUUGGAAUUGAUUGCGAAGUAGCCAAGUAGGGCGGGGGAUUAACCGUAGCACAUGUUUAUAAUAACCGUUUUGGUUUUGAUGUUGUCAUGUUUGGUAUACGUCACUUGAAAAAUGUAGUGUUUGUUGGAUAUUUCUAGAGGACCAUGUACGAAUCAGAUCGAUUGGCCCAACAAACUUUUUCUUUCUUUUUUUUUUUAAAGAAUCUACCGAAUCUUAUUCAAAAUUUAACUUUUGCACUAACACAUAAAACAAACACCCGCAGAGAUGAUGUUCGAUUGAUACAGAACAAUGCUUGAAUGAAUUGCUCCAUCAAUGAAUUCUAUAAGAUUUCCGCUCAAUCCUAUAGAAACUUUCAAACAGGCUCUUGUUGUACUACAAUUCUAUUUCUCGUCAUGGUUGAUCACCAGUUAAAUGAUUCCAACUUGAAUGAUUGAAACCCUCUAUGCUUGAAGUUGUGGCCAUCUGUUGGGCUCUUGAAUCGGUUGGUGCCCAACAAGGUAUAGUGGAAGACCAGAAGAUAAGAGGCAUGCUUCUACAUUCAAAUAUGAUUCAUAUAUCGUGAUGUUCAUGUAGCGUAUGUACACGUAGCAAACCUUACUUAAAACUUUAAAUUUCC